UUUGAUACUGGCUAGUCUUGAGUUCGAGAGAGGUAAGUGGAAUUCCCGAGUGUAGAGGUGAAAUUUCGUAGAUAUUCGGAGGAACACCCAGUGGGCGAAGGCGGGCUUACUGGCUCGAUACUGACCGCUGAGGGUGCGAAAAGUGUGGGGAGCCAAACCAGGAUUAGAUACCCCUGGUAGUCCACACCGUAAACGAUGAAUGCCAGUCGUCGGCAAGUAUACUUGUCGGUGACACACCUAACGGAUUAAGCCAUUCCCGCCUGGGGAGUACGGUCGCAAGAUUAAAACUCCAAAGGAAUUGACGGGGGCCCGCACAAGCGGUGGAGCCAUGUGGUUUAAUUCGAAGCAACGCGCAGAACCUUACCAACCCUUGACAUCCUGAUCGCGGAUUAGAGAGAUCUUUUCCUUCAGUUCGGCUGGAUCAGUGACAGGUGCUGCAUGUCUGUCGUCAGCUCGUGUCGUGAGAUGUUCGGUUAAGUCCGGCAACGAGCGCAACCCACAUCCUUAGUUACCAGCGGUUUGGCCGGGGACUCUAGCGAAACUGCCCGUGAUAAGCGGGAGGAAGGUGUGGAUGACGUCAAGUCCUCAUG
This 590-nucleotide ribosomal RNA is filed under the name uncultured bacterium. RNAcentral describes it as "bacterial SSU rRNA". It matches the Rfam family "Bacterial small subunit ribosomal RNA", at positions 626 to 1197 of the family's 1533-position model. The record is from RNAcentral.